This 330-nucleotide ribosomal RNA is filed under the name uncultured bacterium. RNAcentral's name for it is "bacterial SSU rRNA". It matches the Rfam family "Bacterial small subunit ribosomal RNA", at positions 568 to 898 of the family's 1533-position model. The record is from RNAcentral.
UGCGCAGGCGGUUAUGUAAGACAGAGGUGAAAUCCCCGGGCUCAACCUGGGAACUGCCUUUGUGACUGCAUAGCUAGAGUACGGCAGAGGGGGAUGGAAUUCCACGUGUAGCAGUGAAAUGCGUAGAUAUGCGGAGGAACACCGAUGGCGAAGGCAGUCCCCUGGGCCUGUACUGACGCUCAUGCACGAAAGCGUGGGGAGCAAACAGGAUUAGAUACCCUGGUAGUCCACGCCCUAAACGAUGUCAACUGGUUGUUGGGUCUUAGCUGACUCAGUAACGAAGCUAACGCGUGAAGUUGACCGCCUGGGGAGUACGGCCGCAAGGUUGAA